GAGCUUGCUUUGACAGCCCAUAUACUAAAAUUGGAUACAUAGAAGAUUAGCACAGUCCACAUGCAAAGGUGCCACACAAAUCCAUGAAGCAUUCUAUAUUUUU
This is a small nuclear RNA of Colobus angolensis palliatus, 103 nucleotides long. Lineage: Eukaryota; Metazoa; Chordata; Mammalia; Primates; Cercopithecidae. The record is from Ensembl.